RNAcentral lists this ribosomal RNA (498 nucleotides) under uncultured bacterium. RNAcentral's name for it is "bacterial SSU rRNA". It matches the Rfam family "Bacterial small subunit ribosomal RNA", at positions 29 to 518 of the family's 1533-position model. The record is from RNAcentral.
AUGAACGCUAGCGACAGGCCUAACACGAUGCAAGUCGAGGGGCAGCACAAGGAGCAAUCUGAGGUGGCGACCGGCGCACGGGUGAGUAACACGUAUGCAACCUGACCUGUAAGCGGGGAAUAACCCGUUGAAAGACGGACUAAUACCGCAUAAUACUAAAUUACUGCAUGGUAAUUUAUUUAAACAUUUAUGGCUUACAGAUGGGCAUGCGCAUGAUUAGCUAGUUGGAGAGGUAACGGCUCCCCAAGGCAACGAUCAUUAGGGGUUCUGAGAGGAAGGUCCCCCCACACUGGUACUGAGACACGGACCAGACUCCUACGGGAGGCAGCAGUGAGGAAUAUUGGUCAAUGGACGAGAGUCUGAACCAGCCAAGUCGCGUGCAGGAAGAAUUGUCCUAUGGAUUGUAAACUGCUUUUGCAGGGGAAUAAAGUGCAUCACGUGUGAUGUUUUGUAUGUACUCUGCGAAUAAGGAUCGGCUAACUCCGUGCCAGCCGCCGC